CUCAAAUAUUAUUCUAUUGAGUUAAAACUUAUACCAGCUGUUCAUGGAACUACUCUGAUUAUGUAGAAAAAGUUAUUUCACUCUUAACUCUUUAUUUCUCCAAGUUAGCACAGGUAUGCGUUUUUUGGCAAUUUGCAUUUCCAGCCUGCCAAAAUAUGCAUCCCCUCUUUAUUCUCCCCAAAUAUUAUCAUAUUGAUAUAAAACUCAUACCAGUAGUUUACAGAACUACUCUAAUCAUUUAGAAAGUUAUUUCACUCUUAACUCUUUAUUUCUCCAAGUUAGCACAGGUAUGCGUUUUUUGGCAAUUUGCAUUUCCAGCCUGCCAAAAUAUGCAUCCCCUCUUUAUUCUCCCCAAAUAUUAUAUUGAUAUAAAACUCAUACCAGUAGUUUACAGAACUACUCUAAUCAUGUAGGAAAACUUAUUUCACCCUUAACUCUUUAUUUCUCCAAGUUAGCACAGGGAUGCAUUUUUGGGCAAUAUGCAUUUCCAGCCUGCCAAAAUAUGCAUCCCCCUCUGUUCUCCUCAAAUAUUAUUCUAGUGAUUUAAAACUUAUACCAGCUGUUCAUGGAACUACUCUGAUUA
Poecilia latipinna (sailfin molly) is the source of this 583-nucleotide long non-coding RNA. RefSeq lists it as uncharacterized. Lineage: Eukaryota; Metazoa; Chordata; Actinopteri; Cyprinodontiformes; Poeciliidae. The transcript is spliced from 3 exons. The record is from RefSeq and is a predicted model, not a curated record.